GCUUACGGCCACACCUCCCUGAGCACGCCCGAUCUCGUCUGAUCUCGGAAGCUAAGCAGGGUCGGGCCCGGUUAGUUUGGAUGGGAGACCGCCUGGAAUACCAGGUGCUGUAAGCC
RNAcentral lists this ribosomal RNA (116 nucleotides) under Esox lucius (northern pike). Lineage: Eukaryota; Metazoa; Chordata; Actinopteri; Esociformes; Esocidae. The record is from RNAcentral.